This 420-nucleotide ribosomal RNA is filed under the name uncultured bacterium. Its description in RNAcentral is "bacterial SSU rRNA". It matches the Rfam family "Bacterial small subunit ribosomal RNA", at positions 355 to 786 of the family's 1533-position model. The record is from RNAcentral.
UGAGGAAUAUUGCACAAUGGGGGAAACCCUGAUGCAGCGACGCCGCGUGAGCGAAGAAGUAUUUCGGUAUGUAAAGCUCUAUCAGCAGGGAAGAAAAAUGACGGUACCUGACUAAGAAGCACCGGCUAAAUACGUGCCAGCAGCCGCGGUAAUACGUAUGGUGCAAGCGUUAUCCGGAUUUACUGAGUGUAAAGGGAGCGCAGGCGGUACGGCAAGUCUGAUGUGGAAAGCCCACGGGGCUCAACCCCGGGUACUGCAUUGGAAACUGUCGGACUAGAGUGUCGGAGGGGUAAGUGGAAUUCCUAGUGUAGCGGUGAAAUGCGUAGAUAUUAGGAGGAACACCAGUGGCGAAGGCGGCUUACUGGACGAUUACUGACGCUGAGGCUCGAAAAGUGUGGGUAUCAAACAGGAUUAGAUACC